Long non-coding RNA from Oncorhynchus nerka (sockeye salmon), 1514 nucleotides. RefSeq lists it as uncharacterized. The transcript is spliced from 5 exons. Lineage: Eukaryota; Metazoa; Chordata; Actinopteri; Salmoniformes; Salmonidae. The record is from RefSeq and is a predicted model, not a curated record.
UUCCUCAUUCUGUGAAUCAUGAACAAAACAGCUUUGUAAUCUAAGUUCAAUGAUCAUGGAUAUGCUAUCUAUCUUCAUGGUGAUGACUCUCGUAGGAAAAUGUCAAGGGAACACUUAUCUAAAUUAUCAAGAGAAAGAAGAAGCUAUAUCCCUACAAUGUGAAGAGAGAAUUUGGCAACUUGAUCUAGAUGAAGACAAUACGGUGGAUUGCACUUUGAAUUGCAGUCUUCAUGACAAUGAGAAGAAAUGUGACCAAGAUCCGAAGUGCAAUAAUACAACAUUUACAUUAGAAACAAAAACCUGCAAAAACAGUAUCAAACAAUGUUUAAAUAUGAAAUUGGAGAAAAACGUCACUGGAUUCUUUGCAUGUUUUCAUACCUUUCCAUCAAAUGACCAACACUUAUUCCCCUUUAAACCUUCAAAAGAUCAGGUGGAAUCAUUUAUUGUGGCAUUUGUUGAACCAAAGAUGGUGAUAUGCUACCCUGGUGUGGAAACUAAAACGUCUGUUACCAAACAGCAUGGAGAAUCAGUCAACCUUGCAUGUAAUUUCACAGUAGCCAAAGAUUACUCUAGCUUUCCAUUUUCAGUGUAUUGGAUCAAAACCAUCAGUGGCAACAGUAGCAUCUGUCUUUAUUCUUAUUCUUAUGAUAGUGAUGUACAAUUAUAUGACCACCAUUGUCUCAUUGAUGAGGCCCUGCUGAAACGAAGGUCAAAUACUUCAUCUAUUCCCCUAACAAGCCCUAUCUUUCAUAACCUUAAGAUCAGCAAUGCCACAUAUUCAGACAGUGGACAGUAUGUUUGUGCCGUACAGGUGCUUAAGAAUAGAAAAGGGCACUGGAAGGUAAUAACUAAUGUCACAGUCACUGUGAAUGGAGAAUUCAACAACCACCCCAACAGGAAUGACACAGCCCUGUUAUAUACUCCUGGGGAUCCUUACAUACCACUGUAUGUAGUGGGAGCCUUGUUCUUCUCCUGCCUGUUUGUUACUGCCAUUGUCAUUGUCAUGCUGAAAAAUACCAAGAUUUCACAAGACUCCCCAUAUGCUGAGGGCAGAGGAGAGGAUGAGGGGCUCUUCUCACUUCUGAAGCUGACUGAAGUGAGAGAUCCUGUGACUGUACAGAACGGAGCUGAAGAACAUGCUGCUGUUGCUGUCGAGCCCAAUUCUGUCGUCAUGUUCAAGGCCUUUGACCCCCAGGCCACUCAGACAUCAUCCACCUACCCCCUCAGGAUUGGAGCGAAAGUAUGAUUUACUAGCUGCCAAUAGUUACUCAUAUGAUGUAGAAAAGUGAGCUAAAGAUAAUGUUUUCAUGAUUGACUUUCAUAUUGGGUUUAGACCAGGAUUGGGGCAGGGCUGCCAGGGGUUUGUUUGGGAUGGCGGGUGGGAGGGGUUGGUUAAAAAAAACAUGUGUGAUUCUUAUUGAUUGUACAGGUUAUGUGACUCAAUAAAAAACUUAGCUGACAAAAAUUAAGGUACAUUAAAAAGAAAAGGAGGAUUCACUUCUUUUUUAAUUGAA